UACGGAGGGUGCAAGCGUUAUCCGGAUUCACUGGGUUUAAAGGGUGCGUAGGUGGAGUGGUAAGUCAGUGGUGAAAUCUCCAAGCUUAACUUGGAAACUGCCGUUGAUACUAUCAUUCUUGAAUAUCGUGGAGGUAGGCGGAAUAUGUCAUGUAGCGGUGAAAUGCUUAGAUAUGACAUAGAACACCGAUUGCGAAGGCAGCUUGCUACACGAUCAUUGACACUGAGGCACGAAAGCGUGGGGAUCAAACAGG
Molecule: ribosomal RNA, 253 nt
Filed under: uncultured bacterium
Lineage: Bacteria
Description: partial 16S ribosomal RNA
Rfam family: Bacterial small subunit ribosomal RNA
Source: RNAcentral